This 72-nucleotide transfer RNA is filed under the name Lachnospiraceae bacterium. RNAcentral describes it as "tRNA-Ile". It matches the Rfam family "tRNA". From Rfam's summary of the family: Transfer RNA (tRNA) molecules are approximately 80 nucleotides in length. Their secondary structure includes four short double-helical elements and three loops (D, anti-codon, and T loops). The record is from RNAcentral. Lineage: Bacteria; Bacillati; Bacillota; Clostridia; Lachnospirales; Lachnospiraceae. RNAcentral also lists the same sequence under 1 other name.
UGGAACGUAGUUCAGUGGUAGAACAGCUGGCUUAUAUCCAGCGUGUCGCAGGUUCGAUUCCUUCCGUUCCGA